This 776-nucleotide ribosomal RNA is filed under the name uncultured Neocallimastigales. RNAcentral's name for it is "partial large subunit ribosomal RNA". It matches the Rfam family "Eukaryotic large subunit ribosomal RNA", at positions 22 to 637 of the family's 3401-position model. Lineage: Eukaryota; Fungi; Neocallimastigomycota; Neocallimastigomycetes; Neocallimastigales. The record is from RNAcentral.
GUACACGCUGUGACUAGCAUAUCAAUAAGCGGAGGAAAAGAAACUAACAAGGAUUCCCCUAGUAACGGCGAGUGAAGCGGGAAGAGCUCAAAUUUGAAAUCUUAAAGGGUUUCCCUUUACGAAUUGUAGUUUAAAGAAGUGUUUUCUGUUGAGGUUUUGGUAAAAGUUCUUUGGAAUAGGACAUCAUAGAGGGUGAGAAUCCCGUAUUUGACCUUUACUUUCAACUUUGUGAUACACUUUCAAAGAGUCGGAUUGUUUGGGAAUGCAGUCCAAAAUGGGUGGUAAAUUUCAUCUAAGGCUAAACUAUUGGCGAGAGACCGAUAGCGAACAAGUACCGUGAGGGAAAGAUGAAAAGAACUUUGAAAAGAGAGUUAAACAGUACGUGAAAUUGUCAAAAGGGAAGCGUUUGACACCAGUGUUGUUUUUCUGAAAAUCAAUUAAAGAACUGUUUAUGCUAAGUUGUUUAGACUUUAUCAGCUAACUGUUUAGUUUUGAGCUUUUCUUUAAUGCACUUUUCAGUUAACAAGUCAACAUCAAUUUCUUUUGCUGUAAAAAAGCUUGAGGAAGGUGGCUUGAGAUUCGUCUUAAGUGUUUAUAGCCUCUUGCCUAUGCAGUCGGAGAGAUUGAGGUCUGCAGCGUAGAUCCUUCGGGGCUAAAUGCAUUUGUGCUAAGUUAUAGCAUUUUUAUAGACAACUUGUUGACUAUGAUUUGUCUUGUAGCUUACUCGCUUAUGUUAUUUUACCUACGCUUAGGAUGUUGACAGCAGUAUAGACUGU